Molecule: long non-coding RNA, 1931 nt
Organism: Oreochromis niloticus (Nile tilapia)
Lineage: Eukaryota; Metazoa; Chordata; Actinopteri; Cichliformes; Cichlidae
Source: Ensembl
AUGAAACAAUGUGGUUUGAAAAUGCCACGUGACUACCGUCCUCCUCCCUCCGGUCCGGAACAGUCCGGAUGUUCAUGGCGCAUUUUUUAUGAGCAAACCUGGAGAAGCUUCAGCUCAAGAUAUUAUUGUUGUCAUUGCUGUGGAUCUUUACCUGAUACACUGACUUGGAUCGGGACCAGCACUCCUGCUGUUGGACAGAAAGACAUCAACUCAGUGGUAUUUUGGUUUUCCAAUAUAUUAGCAACUGUCAGUGACAUUUAUAUCAAUCAGGCUGAACUUUAAUCAUACUUUAGAUCAGCCUGUUUUACUUAUUGUUUUGUUUGUGCUUUGGUUUGGGGAAGUUGUUUCUUUACUGAUCUUUUCCUGUCUUCUGUUAUUAGACUUGAGAUAUGACUGCACUAUGCUGUUGCUGGUGACCACAGUUAAUUCUACAAGACAUGCUGUGUAAGUAAACAAACAACAACAGUUUGGUCUGCAUUUCUUGAAAGAUCACAUCCCCCAAACUUAGUUUAGAGGGUCUACACUGUAUAUAGUGAAGUCUGCAAGUUUUCUAACAGCAAAAUCUGUUUUGUGCCCAAAAUCAUUUUGCACAUCAUUAGAAUGAAAGUUAUUGGCCAUGUUUGCAUAGCCCUUUUUAAAAUGAUGCUUUCAUGACAUUAUUGUAUGUUGGGUGGUGGUCAGGGCUAUCCAGACUGACAAUUUGGGACAUUGAAUGUCACCUCUGCGGUGGGGAGGGAGCCUGAGAUUGUUUAAAUUGGAGUCUGUUUUAUACCAAAUGCAGAAAAAAAUGUUUUAAGAAAGCAAUUAAGUUCAUGUUCCAAAAAAUAUGAUUGUUUGCUUGCAGGACAACAGGAGAGAUGAGUCCUCCGUCACAGAUGGUGUGGUCAGUGAAGAUGGUCGCCUGCAGGUUCAAGCUCAUUGCAUCUCCAACCCACAUCCACUGCCACUGUACUUAAGGGAAGUUAAAGACUUUCUUCUGCACCUGCAUUUGGAUCACCUCGAUCCAUGACAGUCAUUCAGGCAGUAAUGCCUGGCCUGGAAACAAGCAUCCUUAAAAUAAUACAACAUUCCAGCUGCUGUGUUGAAAUGGAAAACAAAUGUGUUGUUUAAAUUAGAGACUGCACUUGUGACAGAACAAUAAAUAUUUUAUUUUGAUUAUAUAAGUAAUGUAAGUACAAAACAAACUUGUGGUAGGCCUAAACUUAUUUUCAGAAUAAUUACAUCUGAGACUUUGUUUCAUUGUAAGAUUAUAACAGUGAUGGCAAUAUAAUUGUUUGUUGUUCAGCAGAACAGUGUCCAGUAUGUUGGCUGUUAUACUUUGUUGUGUUUGAAAAUAAAAGCUGGGCUGAUUUUAACAUCAUUACAAAAAGUGUUGUUAAUUAUUUUUAAUCAUAUUCAGGUUACCACAAAUUGUUUUUUCAUGUAGUUGAACUUGAAAUGUUUGUCAGUAGGUAAACAAUUAGUAUUGUACAGUCAGAAAUAUCAAGUUAUUGUUAAUGCUGCAGACUUGCAAUGUAUAAGUUGUCCUAACAGUCAUCUUAAGUAAGCUUUACUUAGUUUUUUUGAGGCAACGAGUUUCCAUAUUUUUUUUGAGUUCUGGGAACUAAAUAGGUUUUUACUCCAUACUUAAAGUGAAUAAGUUGCCUUAACUUAGUCAUCUUAAGUAAACUUCACUCAAUUUUUUUGAGGCAACGAGUUUGCAUAGUUUUUUUGAGUUCUGUGACCUAAUUAGAUUUUAUAGUGCAGUCAAGAUUUUGGAGGCUGCGUGGACGUGAGGAUGUGUGAAAGCUCUUCUCACUCUCUGUCAAACCAGAAUCGUAUACGUGGACUGAAGAUCAGACUAAAGAUGGAUACAGGACAACAAACACGAUCUGAAAGAGUUUGGAGUAAAGGUCUAGUAUUGAUGCAAAGAAUCGUCUCUGUGGGUGCAA